GGGGCAGCGAUGGAAGAUUUUCGUUCCCUCUUGGAGAUGCUUUGGUGGCCGUUUAUUUUCGUUUGGGGAGGCGAGCUGCGAAUCCAGCUCCUUUCGGUUUAUGAAAUUGUCUGUUCGUUGUGAUAUUUUUCACAGAUUCUACAACCUUCGUCUCACGCAUCUUCUAUCUCUCUUGGCUGUGAAUUCUUGCAUCCUUUGUCUUCGGGUGGGGUUUUGCUGUUUUAGAUAGAGCUGUUUGGUGGUUGUUUUUGGUUCUGUUAAGCAAGAGGUGGUGUUUUGCUGUUUUAGAUAGAGCUGUUUCGUGGUUGUUUUUGGUUCUGUUAAGCAAGAGGUACAUUUCUAUGUUGAAAUUCCAAUUUAUUGUUUCGGUUCUGUGAAUAAAGCAUGGUAA
Molecule: non-coding RNA, 391 nt
Organism: Prunus avium (sweet cherry)
Lineage: Eukaryota; Viridiplantae; Streptophyta; Magnoliopsida; Rosales; Rosaceae
Source: RefSeq, a predicted model, not a curated record